RNAcentral lists this transfer RNA (124 nucleotides) under Aciduliprofundum boonei T469. RNAcentral describes it as "tRNA-Arg". Lineage: Archaea; Methanobacteriati; Thermoplasmatota. The record is from RNAcentral.
GGGCCCGUGGGGUAGCUGGAUAUCCUCGGGGCCUCCGGAAGCCCCUUUCUAAAGAAAGCGGCUUUACCCGUAAAGAAGGGGUUUAAGAAAGCCCUUGACCCGGGUUCGAAUCCCGGCGGGCCCG